GCCCUUAGCUGACCUCUGGAGUUUCCUGGUAGUCUGUUGAUGGUGCUAGUUAAGAAUAUUGUGAAUUCUGCUCUCUCCAGAGAAUUUUAAGACAGAAACAUUGCUUGCAGAGUUUUCUAAGGGAUUCUGAUCAACUUACGUCUGAAAAAGUGUGGUAAAAUCUGAACACUAACAUUGCAGCCCUUUGACCUCAAAUGUAUAUGCUGAAAAUUCAGAUCCCAUCUGGACCCAGUAAAUGUGUGACUUGAAAGAAGGCAAAUGAAUGAAGACUUCCAUACUCUGGAGCUUCAGCAGAGAGGUGCUGCAGAUCACCUGGGAAAAUUCCAGUACUGUGAGAAAUCUUCCAUCUAGUUUAAUUUUUAAAUUAUCUUGUAUUUUAAUUGAAUUAAUAAAAAUAGCAAGAAGAGAGAAAAAUGAUAUUUGGAUUUUUUACUUAGAUUGAAACUAGCAGGAGAAAGGGGAUUAUCUCACUUGAUGAAGUAGAGAUUAUUACUUUUCAUCAAAAAACUGUUGUCUCUUUCAAUGUCAGAUGCUUUUGCACUUUGAGGAAUAAACUGAGAAGGCUACAGCUAUACUUCAUGGAUGUUUAUGUGCAGGCCUUGUCUGCUCACUGGGCUCCAGAACCACAGGACUUACCCUUGGUCUUUCCUGUGCUGCUGGACUCCUGGAGAGCAGGUCUGUGGCUGAUGAGGUUGGUGUCCUGCUCUUGUCUCCUGGCUCUUUUGUUUGAGCUGGUGGCAAGGUCUGAGCAGAAUUUUGCUCACAACCUUUCCAGCCCCUCCUUUAUCAAAGAACUUGAGACAAAUUCAAAAUUAGGAAAGGCCACAUUUCAAAAGUGUCUUAUGCUAGUGGCUGUGGUGAUUUUACCAAUUUUAUGACAUCUACUUUUAACUUUACAGAGUACGAUCUUACUGUAAUUACUGCUUGCAGCUUUAAGGGAGCUGGUGUGGACCAUACUAUUUUAAAGGUAUAAGCUCUAUUGAUCUAAAGUAUUCUGAGUGAUAAACAGCUGCUCAGGUUGAUUAAAGCUGAAGGGAAGCUGAAGCAUUUAAUCAAUCUCCAAAGCUGCUCCAAGUAUAUUACAAAGCAAUUGUGAUUAUUGCUAUUAUAUGACAAGCUAUAUCAUAAUAAAGAAAGAGGGAUCAUUUUUCUUAGAAGCA
Molecule: long non-coding RNA, 1160 nt
Filed under: Cyanistes caeruleus (blue tit)
Lineage: Eukaryota; Metazoa; Chordata; Aves; Passeriformes; Paridae
Description: lncRNA (ENSCCEG00000003170.1)
Source: RNAcentral